UCCCAGGUGGCUCAGUGGUAAAGAACCUGUCUGCCAAACAGGAGAGGCAACAGACACAGGUUUGAUCCCUGGGUUGGGAA
Molecule: transfer RNA, 80 nt
Filed under: Bos taurus (domestic cattle)
Lineage: Eukaryota; Metazoa; Chordata; Mammalia; Artiodactyla; Bovidae
Also listed under: 5 other names
Rfam family: tRNA
About the family: Transfer RNA (tRNA) molecules are approximately 80 nucleotides in length. Their secondary structure includes four short double-helical elements and three loops (D, anti-codon, and T loops). Further hydrogen bonds mediate the characteristic L-shaped molecular structure. tRNAs have two regions of fundamental functional importance: the anti-codon, which is responsible for specific mRNA codon recognition, and the 3' end, to which the tRNAs corresponding amino acid is attached (by aminoacyl-tRNA synthetases). tRNAs cope with the degeneracy of the genetic code in two manners: having more than one tRNA (with a specific anti-codon) for a particular amino acid; and 'wobble' base-pairing, i.e. permitting non-standard base-pairing at the 3rd anti-codon position.
Source: Rfam by way of RNAcentral